AACGAACGCUGGCGGCAUGCCUAACACAUGCAAGUCGAACGAGACCUUCGGGUCUAGUGGCGCACGGGUGCGUAACGUGUGGGAACCUGCCGUUAGGCUCGGAAUUACACCCCGUAAGGGGUGCUAAUACCGGGUAACUUCCUCGGAUACCAGAUACAACUCCUUUGGAUGGGCCGGCGUUGGAUUAGCUGGUUGGUAGGGUAAAAGCCUACCAAGGCGAGGCUACAUAGCUGGUCUGAGAGGAUGAUCAGCCACACUGGGACUGGGACACGGCCCAGACUCCUGCGGGAGGCAGCAGUGGGGAAUAUUGGACAAUGGGCGAAAGCCUGAUGCAGCAAUGCCGCGUGAGUGAUGAAGGCCUGAGGGAAGUAAAGCACUUUAACCCGGGAUUAUAAUGACAGUACCGGGAGAAUAAGCACCGGCUAACUCCGUG
This 433-nucleotide ribosomal RNA is filed under the name uncultured bacterium. RNAcentral's name for it is "partial 16S ribosomal RNA". It matches the Rfam family "Bacterial small subunit ribosomal RNA", at positions 29 to 507 of the family's 1533-position model. The record is from RNAcentral.